Molecule: transfer RNA, 69 nt
Filed under: Apis cerana (Asiatic honeybee)
Lineage: Eukaryota; Metazoa; Arthropoda; Insecta; Hymenoptera; Apidae
Also listed under: 1 other name
Description: tRNA-Leu
Source: RNAcentral
AUUAUUUUAGCAUAAAAGUGCAUUAAAUUUAGGAUUUAAUAAUAUUAAUAUAUAGAUUAAUAAAUAAUA